GACGAACGCUGGCGGCGUGCUUAACACAUGCAAGUCGAACGGAACGGCCCUGCUUUUGUGGGGUUCUCGAGUGGCGAACGGGUGAGUAACACGUGAGUAACCUGCCCUUGACUUUGUGAUAACUUCAGGAAACUCGGGCUAAUAUCGGAUAGGAUCUCCUGCUGCAUGUUGGUGGUUGGUAAGUUUCGGCGGUUGGGGAUGUAUUCGCGGCUUAUCAGCUUGUUGGUGGGGUAGUGGCUUACCAAGGCUUUGACGGGUAGCCGGCAUGAGAGGGUGACCGGCCACAUUGGGACUGAGAUACGGACCAGACUCGUACGGGAGGCAACAGUGGGAAAUAUUGCACAAUGGGGGGACGUCUGAUGCAGAAACGCCGCGUGCGGGAUGACGGCCUUCGGGUUGUAAACAGAUUUCGACUGUAACAAAGAGUGAGUGACGGUAAUGGGUAAAGAAGCACCGGCUAACUACGUG
Molecule: ribosomal RNA, 468 nt
Filed under: uncultured bacterium
Lineage: Bacteria
Description: partial 16S ribosomal RNA
Rfam family: Bacterial small subunit ribosomal RNA
Source: RNAcentral